CCCAGACUCCUACGGGAGGCAGCAGUGGGGAAUAUUGCACAAUGGGGGAAACCCUGAUGCAGCGACGCCGCGUGAGUGAAGAAGUAAUUCGUUAUGUAAAGCUCUAUCAGCAGGGAAGAAACAGACAGUACCUGAGUAAGAAGCCCCGGCUAACUACGUGCCAGCAGCCGCGGUAAUACGUAGGGGGCAAGCGUUAUCCGGAUUUACUGGGUGUAAAGGGAGCGUAGACGGAUGGAUAAGUCUGAAGUGAAAGCCCGCGGCUCAACUGCGGGACUGCUUUGGAAACUGUGCAUCUUGAGUACGGGAGGGGCAGGCGGAAUUCCUGGUGUAGCGGUGAAAUGCGUAGAUAUUAGGAAGAACACCAGUGGCGAAGGCGGCUUUCUGGACUGAAACUGACGCUGAGGCGCGAAAGCGUGGGGAGCGAACAGGAUUAGAUACCCCUGUA
This 445-nucleotide ribosomal RNA is filed under the name uncultured bacterium. RNAcentral's name for it is "bacterial SSU rRNA". It matches the Rfam family "Bacterial small subunit ribosomal RNA", at positions 330 to 792 of the family's 1533-position model. The record is from RNAcentral.